Molecule: ribosomal RNA, 440 nt
Filed under: uncultured bacterium
Lineage: Bacteria
Description: partial 16S ribosomal RNA
Rfam family: Bacterial small subunit ribosomal RNA
Source: RNAcentral
CCUACGGGAGGCUGCAGUGGGGAAUAUUGCACAAUGGGGGAAACCCUGAUGCAGCGACGCCGCGUGAGUGAAGAAGUAUUUCGGUACGUAAAGCUCUAUCAGCAGGGAAGAAAAAGACGGUACCUGACCAAGAAGCCCCGGCUAACUACGUGCCAGCAGCCGCGGUAAUGCGUAGGGUGCAAGCGUUAUCCGGAUUUACUGGGUGUAAAGGGGGCGGAGACGGCAGCGCAAGUCUGGAGUGAAAUCCCAUGGCUUAACCACGGAACUGCUUUGGAAACUGGGCAGCUGGAGUGCAGGAGAGGUAAGCGGAAUUCCUAGUGUAGCGGUGAAAUGCGUAGAUAUUAGGAGGAACACCAGUGGCGAAGGCGGCUUACUGGACUGUAACUGACGUUGAGGCUCGAAAGCGUGGGGAGCAAACAGGAUUAGAUACCCGGGUAGUC